RNAcentral lists this ribosomal RNA (253 nucleotides) under uncultured bacterium. RNAcentral's name for it is "partial 16S ribosomal RNA". It matches the Rfam family "Bacterial small subunit ribosomal RNA", at positions 524 to 776 of the family's 1533-position model. The record is from RNAcentral.
UACGGAGGGGGCUAGCGUUGUUCGGAAUUACUGGGCGUAAAGCGCACGUAGGCGGCUUUGUAAGUUAGAGGUGAAAGCCCGGGGCUCAACUCCGGAACUGCCUUUAAGACUGCAUCGCUAGAAUUGUGGAGAGGUAAGUGGAAUUCAGAGUGUAGAGGUGAAAUUCGUAGAUAUUCGGAAGAACACCAGUGGCGAAGGCGACUUACUGGACACAUAUUGACGCUGAGGUGCGAAAGCGUGGGGAGCAAACAGG